ACGCACGCUGGCGGCAUGCCUCACCCAUGCAAGUCGCACGAGACCUUCGGGUCUAGUGGCGCACGGGUGCGUAACGCGUGGGAACCUGCCCUUAGGUUCGGAAUAACUCCCCGAAAGGGGUGCUAAUACCGGAUAAUGUCUUCGGACCAAAGAUUUAUCGCCUUUGGAUGGGCCCGCGUUGGAUUAGCUAGUUGGUAGGGUAAAAGCCUACCAAGGCGACGAUCCAUAGCUGGUCUGAGAGGAUGAUCAGCCACACUGGGACUGAGACACGGCCCAGACUCCUACGGGAGGCAGCAGUGGGAAUAUUGGACAAUGGGCGAAAGCCUGAUCCAGCAAUGCCGCGUGAGUGAUGAAGGCCUUAGGGUUGUAAAGCUCUUUUACCCGGGAUGAUAAUGACAGUACCGGGAGAAUAAGCUCCGGCUAACUCCGUG
Molecule: ribosomal RNA, 431 nt
Filed under: uncultured bacterium
Lineage: Bacteria
Description: partial 16S ribosomal RNA
Rfam family: Bacterial small subunit ribosomal RNA
Source: RNAcentral